UGUUCUGUGGCUUAGUAAGUUAAAGCGCCGGUCUAGCGAAUACGGAGUCGUGGGUUCGAAUCCCACCAGAAUGC
Non-coding RNA from Aedes albopictus (Asian tiger mosquito), 74 nucleotides. NCBI's taxonomy places the organism in Eukaryota, Metazoa, Arthropoda, Insecta, Diptera, Culicidae. The record is from Rfam.